Grammomys surdaster is the source of this 335-nucleotide long non-coding RNA. RefSeq lists it as uncharacterized. The transcript is spliced from 3 exons. Lineage: Eukaryota; Metazoa; Chordata; Mammalia; Rodentia; Muridae. The record is from RefSeq and is a predicted model, not a curated record.
CCUUCCCUUUCAGGAUGCCAGGUGGGAGGAGCUGAGGGAAAGUACUCACUAUGGUCCACAUCUGACAGGACUUUCCACAGAGCUAGCAACCUGGUCAGAGAGAGGAAGUUUUAUCUGUGCACCCCUUCCCCAAGGAUGAACCAUUCUCACUCUACAAAGUCCUGUGUGCUCAUCCUGCUAGUGGCCCUACUGUGUACAGAAAGAGCUCAGGGGCUCAAGUGCUACAAUUGCCUGGGGAUCCCACUCGAGGCUUCCUGCUCAUCAAUAAUGACCUGCCCUUACUAUAAUGCAUUCUGUGUGACUCUGGUGGAAGAACUUACUGUGGGUAAGUGGAC